Molecule: non-coding RNA, 271 nt
Organism: Pelobates cultripes (western spadefoot toad)
Lineage: Eukaryota; Metazoa; Chordata; Amphibia; Anura; Pelobatidae
Source: the annotation of a GenBank genome assembly
UGGGAAUAAAAGAGACUGUAUGUGACAGUACAGGGAGUUCCUGUUUUAACCCUCAAAGUGAAGUGUCGUCUCAUUAUUGGGGGAAGGAUUUAUUGUAUGCUGUUCCAGUUUGACUGCCAGGAGAGUAAACCUAUUCGUAUGGUUCCUAUUCAACUGUCUACAGCAUUCAUAUGCUUGGGAGAAUUUAUUUGUUUCUCCGGUUCGGUGAUUGUGGUGUCUGCCAGAGUGCUUGGAGUCCUCAGGAAGCGCUAGGAGCAUCCUUCAACGGAGG